This 447-nucleotide ribosomal RNA is filed under the name uncultured bacterium. Its description in RNAcentral is "partial 16S ribosomal RNA". It matches the Rfam family "Bacterial small subunit ribosomal RNA", at positions 331 to 794 of the family's 1533-position model. The record is from RNAcentral.
CCAGACUCCUACGGGAGGCAGCAGUGGGGGAUAUUGCACAAUGGGGGAAACCCUGAUGCAGCGACGCCGCGUGAGGGAAGACGGUUUUCGGAUUGUAAACCUCUGUCUUUGGGGACGAAUUGAGACGGUACCCAAGGAGGAAGCUCCGGCUAACUCCGUGCCAGCAGCCGCGGUAAUACGGAGGAUGCGAGCGUUAUCCGGAUUUAUUGGGUUUAAAGGGAGCGUAGGCCGGCUUUUAAGUCAGCUGUGAAAGUCCGCGGCUCAACCGUGGAAUUGCAGUUGAAACUGGAGGCCUUGAGUGCACACAGGGAUGCCGGAAUUCAUGGUGUAGCGGUGAAAUGCUUAGAUAUCAUGAAGAACUCCGAUCGCGAAGGCAAGUGUCCGGGGUGCAACUGACGCUGAGGCUCGAAAGUGCGGGUAUCAAACAGGAUUAGAUACCCCAGUAUG